UCGAGUCCAAAAAAAUUAGAAGACGAACAGAUUAGAUUCUCCAAUUUCCAAUUUCUCUCGUCUCAUUGAAUCAAAAAUAAAUAAAUCCUGAUCAGUAAACAAAGUCCAUUCUGCUCUCUCUUAUCUCUUCUCUGCUUUACUAUCUCUUUCAUCGACACUAUUUUCUGGAGAUUUCAAUCGGACCAUCAACUAUCGUAUCAGCUAUGAAGUUAAGAGAUGUAAGUUUUCUAGUCUUGUUCAGAAUUCAGUCUUCCCUUUUCUUUGUUGUUGUUUGUUUUUUUUCUUUGUUGUUAUAGUUGUUUUGUGUUUUUUGUUUUGUUUUUGCACAAGGGCUCUUUCUGUGUUUUUAAUAGUGAACUUCCUGUUACAGAAUGCCCAAUUUCAUUCCAGAGGCUGUUUGAUUGGGAUCUGAUACGUACAGAUACUUAAGAGUUUCAAUGUUCCGUCAUUAGCCAAUGCAAAGACUCCUAAUGUAUCGAUAUCAGAGUUUCUUGAUUGGCUACUGCAUCUGGAUAAUUUGGUAGUUUGUAGUACCAGUAGAUUCCCAAGUAACGAUUACUUGUAGCACUGAAAAUGCUCGAGUUUUCAGGAUUGAAGAAGCCUAACUUGAGUACAACAUUUGUGCAUGAGAAGAAGAAUGGGAAUGCAUGCAGAAACAUGAGAAAAAGAGGAAGACAAUGCUUCUUAGUUUGGCCAUAGAAAAACAACUACUGGAGGGUCAAAACCAAUAGGAUUUCUUGUAUAUAUGCCUUCAUCAGUUAUUUGCAUGUUCAAAUGCAACUUCAUAAGUUUCCUUGCUCUCAGCACCCCUUGAAGAUAUUUUUGUAAAAAUAGAGCAUAAAGACCUAUACCAAGUGGUCUGUUGCAGCUUAGUAUCUACUUGUAUGUCCCUUCCAUGCAUAUACUCACUGGGAAUUACCUUUACAUUCAUUACCUCCCUUAAGAUCUUUAUAGCAUGACCACACAACACCCCAUUCAUCUCAAACAACUUGCAACAACAAGAGACAUAAUUGUCACUCUUUUUCCUUAUAACACGAAAUUCCUUGGAAGUGUCCAGAUCACCAACCGUAUACACAAUGUCUUCUCCAGUAUCAACAAUAGUUUUUAUAUAAAAAUCAAGAGCGCUCACAAACUCAUUUUGAAAUUCCUCAAAUAUAAUCUUUGUGUAGACAUUCCCUGCUUCAAUCAACAUUUUAAUAGGUCUCUGAACUUGAGGUAUCUUCUGACACAAAGCAUAUUCUGUUUCUAACUCUUUGUAACGCUUAUCAUUUACAACUCUCUCAAAAUGCUUGAAAAAUUCGACCAAAUUAUGGUCUGAUUGGAGAUAAUCUUUCAAAUCACCAUUGAUACUUUCACUAAUCUGGGUGGUCUGCAAUCCUGCGCACCAUUGGCCUCUAACAUAUGCAUAAGCCCAUUUCCUCCUUACUUCAAAAAUUCUUUUGAACCAUUCAUCUCCAUGCACAUUAUACUCCGUGAGCAUCGCAUCCCAAGCAGCUAGAAACUCAUCUUCUUCUUCAUAGCN
This 1522-nucleotide long non-coding RNA is filed under the name Fragaria vesca (wild strawberry). Its description in RNAcentral is "long non-coding RNA (FVES_LNC003585)". Lineage: Eukaryota; Viridiplantae; Streptophyta; Magnoliopsida; Rosales; Rosaceae. The record is from RNAcentral.